ACAUGCAAGUCGAACGAUGAAGCUGGAGCUUGCUCUGGUGGAUUAGUGGCGAACGGGUGAGUAACACGUGAGUAACCUGCCCUUGACUCUGGAAUAAGCGUUGGAAACGACGUCUAAUACCGGAUACGAGCUUCCGCCGCAUGGUGAGGAGCUGGAAAGAAUUUCGGUCAAGGAUGGACUCGCGGCCUAUCAGGUAGUUGGUGAGGUAAUGGCUCACCAAGCCUACGACGGGUAGCCGCCUGAGAGGGUGACCGGCCACACUGGAACUGAGACACGGUCCAGACUCCUACGGGAGGCAGCAGUGGGGAAUAUUGCACAAUGGGCGCAAGCCUGAUGCAGCAACGCCGCGUGAGGGACGACGGCCUUCGGGUUGUAAACCUCUUUUAGUAGGGAAGAAGCGAAAGUGACGGUACCUGCAGAAAAAGCACCGGCUAACUACGUGCCAGCAGCCGCGGUAAUACGUAGGGUGCAAGCGUUAUCCGGAAUUAUUGGGGUAAAGAGCUCGUAGGCGGUUUGUCGCGUCUGCUGUGAAAACUGGGGGCUCAACCCCCAGCCUGCAGUGGGGUACGGGCAGACUAGAGUGCGGUAGGGGAGAUUGGAAUUCCUGGUGUAGCGGUGGAAUGCGCAGAUAUCAGGAGGAACACCGAUGGCGAAGGCAGAUCUCUGGGCCGUACUGACGCUGAGGAGCGAAAA
Molecule: ribosomal RNA, 693 nt
Filed under: Frigoribacterium sp. GOBB3-206
Lineage: Bacteria; Bacillati; Actinomycetota; Actinomycetes; Micrococcales; Microbacteriaceae
Description: bacterial SSU rRNA
Rfam family: Bacterial small subunit ribosomal RNA
Source: RNAcentral